GACGAACGCUGGCGGCGUGCUUAACACAUGCAAGUCGAACGGAAAGGCCCUGCUUUUGUGGGGUGCUCGAGUGGCGAACGGGUGAGUAACACGUGAGUAACCUGCCCUUGACUUUGGGAUAACUUCAGGAAACUGGGGCUAAUACCGGAUAGGAGCUCCUGCUGCAUGGUGGGGGGUGGAAAGUUUCGGCGGUUGGGGAUGGACUCGCGGCUUAUCAGCUUGUUGGUGGGGUAGUGGCUUACCAAGGCUUUGACGGGUAGCCGGCCUGGGAGGGUGACCGGCCACAUUGGGACUGAGAUACGGCCCAGACGCCUACGGGAGGCAGCAGGGGGGAAUAUUGCACAAUGGGCGGAAGCCUGAUGCAGCAACGCCGCGUGCGGGAUGACGGCCUUCGGGUUGUAAACCGCUUUCGCCUGUGACGAAGCGUGAGUGACGGUAAUGGGUAAAGAAGCACCGGCUAACUACGUG
RNAcentral lists this ribosomal RNA (468 nucleotides) under uncultured bacterium. RNAcentral's name for it is "partial 16S ribosomal RNA". It matches the Rfam family "Bacterial small subunit ribosomal RNA", at positions 28 to 507 of the family's 1533-position model. The record is from RNAcentral.